Molecule: long non-coding RNA, 1275 nt
Filed under: Canis lupus familiaris (dog)
Lineage: Eukaryota; Metazoa; Chordata; Mammalia; Carnivora; Canidae
Description: lncRNA (ENSCAFG00000052785.1, ENSCAFG00845024258.1)
Source: RNAcentral
UUUGCUAAUAUGUAUUUUUAAAAUUUAAAUAAUAAUAAAAUGGGCUUUUCAUUGUUCAUAAGUAAAAACUAGCCUAUUGAAGUAAUUUCUUUCUUAUUUUAGUCAGGGUUUAUUAAGAAUAUUUUUCAUCAUAACUUUUAGGAUCUAGGGCUAUAUUAAUUUGGUUUUCUCCAUUGUUCUCUUGGUAUCAUGAAAUGUGUUUUUCCUAUUUUGUACUCACCCUCAUAUUCCUACAAUCCUAUCUGUGAAUAUCUCACUUCUAAAGUCCAAUUGAUAAUACUUUGCUUGCAUCCUAUAAAGUAUCAUUAAAGUAUACUUUCUUUGUAUGAUUUUUAUCAUUUUUUGAUAUUAAUAUUAUUUUGUUUUAUAAAAUAAAUUUAGGAGCUCCCUAAUUUUCUUAAUGUAAUUUAAAUAAAUUAAAACUAUCUUCUAAAAAUUAGAUAAACUCAUUUUUGAAACUCUUUGCUCAUGGUUCCUCAUUUAGAGAUACAUUUUAAAUCUUCUUUCCAGUCUAUUUUACAAUGAUUGAUUUCUCAACUUUUAUGCUUAUUCAUGAGUCUACGUUGGUAAUUUAUCUUUUGCUAGGAAAACAUCUACAUAAUCUAGGUUUUAAAAUAGGUUAUUCUUAUAAUUUUUUAAAUCUCACUUGUACCUGGAUUAUAUCUCCAUUUUCAUCCUGAUAUAUAUUUUUUGCUUCCCUUUCUUCUUAAUUGACCUCACAAUUUAUAUUAUUGAUCUUUUUCAAGAAUCAGUUUUCAGAUUUAUUAAUACUUUUUUCAAUCUUAUUUUCUCAGAUUAUAGUUUUAUGUAUUAUUUCCACUACUUCGUUUUAGCAUAUUUUGUUUUGUCUGAUUUUUCUUUUUUUUUGUCUGAUUUUUCAAGAUAAUACUAAGUUCUGUAUUUUUUGUCUUUCUUCUUUAAUAACAAAGCCAUUAAAGAUGUAAAAUUUUCUAUGAGAAUAGUGUUAGCUGUGUCCUAUGGGUUUUAGUGUAAAGAGUAUUCCUUUCAUGAAUUUCUAGAUAGUUUGUAAUUUCACUUUUGAAUUUAUGUUGCGUAUAAGGGUUAAAAGACUGUUUCUUAAAUUCCAAGUAACUAAUUUUUCAGAACUUCUAGAUUAUUAGAUUAACUGUCCUAGAAUGUAAUCUGUAAAAUCUCUACUUUAAAAUGUUUUCAUUUAUUCUUUGUCAGCAGCAGAAGACAGAUUUUAAAAAUAAUAAAUAUAGCUAUUUUGCCCAUUUGUGAAAUGCAAAGUUCUCUGUAUUCUUUCUCUCCCCC